UCCUACGGGAGGCAGCAGUGGGGAAUAUUGCGCAAUGGGGGGAACCCUGACGCAGCAACGCCGCGUGAGUGAAGAAGGUUUUCGGAUCGUAAAGAUCUGUUAUUAGGGAAGAAUGGAAUUGAUAGGAAAUGAUCAAUUUAUGACGGUGCCUAAUGAGGAAGCCCCGGCUAACUAUGUGCCAGCAGCCGCGGUAAUA
This 196-nucleotide ribosomal RNA is filed under the name uncultured bacterium. Its description in RNAcentral is "partial 16S ribosomal RNA". It matches the Rfam family "Bacterial small subunit ribosomal RNA", at positions 337 to 525 of the family's 1533-position model. The record is from RNAcentral.